AUUGAACGCUGGCGGCAUGCCUUACACAUGCAAGUCGAACGGCAGCACGGGAGCAAUCCUGGUGGCUAGUGGCGAACGGGUGAGUAAAGUAUCGGAACGUGCCCAGUCGUGGGGGAUGACGUAGCGAAAGUUACGCCAAUACCGCAUACGAUCUAUGGAUGAAAGCGGGGGAUCGCAAGACCUCGCGCGAUUGGAGCGGCCGAUAUCAGAUUAGGUAGUUGGUGGGGUAAAGGCUCACCAAGCCGACGAUCUGUAGCUGGCCUGAGAGGACGACCAGCCACACUGGGACUGAGACACGGCCCAGACUCCUACGGGAGGCAGCAGUGGGGAAUUUUGGACAAUGGGCGAAAGCCUGAUCCAGCCAUGCCGCGUGCAGGAUGAAGGCCUUCGGGUUGUAAACUGCUUUUGUACGGAACGAAAAGGUUUGGGCUAAUAAGCUGAGCUCAUGACGGUACCGUAAGAAUAAGCACCGGCUAACUACGUGCCAGCAGCCGCUGUAA
RNAcentral lists this ribosomal RNA (500 nucleotides) under uncultured bacterium. Its description in RNAcentral is "partial 16S ribosomal RNA". It matches the Rfam family "Bacterial small subunit ribosomal RNA", at positions 30 to 523 of the family's 1533-position model. The record is from RNAcentral.